AGAAUCAACGCUGGCGGCGUGCCUAACACAUGCAAGUCGCACGAGAAAGGGACUUCGGUCCUGAGUACAGUGGCGCACGGGUGAGUAACACGUGAAUAAUCUACCUCCGAGUGGGAAUAACUGAGAGAAAUCUUAGCUAAUACCGCAUAACACUUACGAGUCAAAGCAGCAAUGCGCUUGGAGAGGAGUUCGCGGCAGAUUAGUUAGUUGGCGGGUAAUGGCCCACCAAGACGAUGAUCUGUAU
Molecule: ribosomal RNA, 244 nt
Filed under: uncultured bacterium
Lineage: Bacteria
Description: partial small subunit ribosomal RNA
Rfam family: Bacterial small subunit ribosomal RNA
Source: RNAcentral